GGGAAUAUUGCACAAUGGGCGCAAGCCUGAUGCAGCAACGCCGCGUGAGGGACGACGGCCUUCGGGUUGUAAACCUCUUUUGGCAGGGAAGAAGCGAAAGUGACGGUACCUGCAGAAAAAGCACCGGCUAACUACGUGCCAGCAGCCGCGGUGAUACGUAGGGUGCAAGCGUUUUCCGGAUUUACUGGGUGUAAAGGGCGCGCAGGCGGGAUAAAAAGUCAGUGGUGAAAUCCUACAGCUUAACUGUAGAACUGCCUUUGAUACUUUUAUUCUUGAGUUCGGGAGAGAGACGGAAUUCCAGGUGUAGUGGUGAAAUACGUAGAUAUCUGGAAGAACACCAGUUGCGAAGGCGGUCUCUUGGUCCGACACUGACGCUGAGGCGCGAAAGCGUGGGGAGCAAACA
This 403-nucleotide ribosomal RNA is filed under the name uncultured bacterium. Its description in RNAcentral is "bacterial SSU rRNA". It matches the Rfam family "Bacterial small subunit ribosomal RNA", at positions 357 to 774 of the family's 1533-position model. The record is from RNAcentral.